The sequence is a regulatory RNA element, 122 nucleotides long. It matches the Rfam family "Ribosomal protein L20 leader". From Rfam's summary of the family: This family is a putative r-protein leader autoregulatory structure found in B. subtilis and other low-GC Gram-positive bacteria. It is located in the 5' untranslated regions of mRNAs encoding initiation factor 3 followed by ribosomal proteins L35 and L20 (infC-rpmI-rplT). A Rho-independent transcription terminator structure that is probably involved in regulation is included at the 3' end. The record is from Rfam.
CAAAGCAAGCAGAAGCGCCCGCUUCUCACCUGAUUGACGCCGUAACUGGUAGUUUGCAGGUACACUGUUUUUAUAAUUGUGUAAUGUGUGGGUGUCGUAUGCGCCGACGCUUUUUUUAUGCU